ACUACGGGAGGCAGCAGUGAGGAAUAUUGGUCAAUGGGCGCGAGCCUGAACCAGCCAAGUCGCGUGAGGGAUGACGGUACUACGGAUUGUAAACCUCUUUUGCCGGGGAGCAAGCGUGCGUCCGUGAACGCGCGUCGAGAGUACCCGGAGCAAAAGCAACAGCUAAUUCCGUGCCAGCAGCCGCGGUAAUACGGAGGAUGCGAGCGUUAUCAGAAUUUAUUGGGUUAAAAGGUUGCGUAGGCGGGAUGCAAAGUCAGCGGUAAACAUGCGGGGCUCAACUCCGUCGAGCUGUUGAAACUGGCGUUCUUGAGUGGGCGAGAAGUAUGCGGAAUGCGUGGUGUAGCGGUGAAAUGCAUAGAUAUCACGCAGAACUCCGAUUGCGAAGGCAGCAUACCGGCGCCCUACUGACGCUGAGGCACGAAAGCGUGGGUAUCGAACAGGAUUAGAUACCCGUGUAGUC
This 460-nucleotide ribosomal RNA is filed under the name uncultured bacterium. Its description in RNAcentral is "partial 16S ribosomal RNA". It matches the Rfam family "Bacterial small subunit ribosomal RNA", at positions 338 to 795 of the family's 1533-position model. The record is from RNAcentral.